Molecule: long non-coding RNA, 4565 nt
Organism: Helianthus annuus (common sunflower)
Lineage: Eukaryota; Viridiplantae; Streptophyta; Magnoliopsida; Asterales; Asteraceae
Exons: 5
Source: RefSeq, a predicted model, not a curated record
AAAAUUUAAUAAAAAAAAGAAAGAAAGAAAAAUAAAACCACAACACACACUGUGCGUGUGUGUGGUCGAUCGCACAAGGCAGAGGGAAAGGGGUAAACCCUAAUUCUCAAGAAAUCUCCAAAUUGAAAAGGGAAUUGAAGGUUUUUAGGAUGCAUGUAUCAAGAUUAUCGAUCUCCUAAGUGUUCUUCACUAUCAAAUAAUAGGAACGUGUCAAGGAGAGGUCAAGCAUAGGAGGAUAACGGGUCAAGAUAAGGCAAGGUGACAAAUACACUUAAUGGAGUACUCGAGGUAUGGGAUCGUUGGCUUCAUGAAGAAAUGGAGCUGGAUUUGGAUAAGAGUAUUUAAGAAAGCGCUUGGACAAUUCCACGACUACUUUAUAGAAUGCUCUACGAAAUUCUAUUAUAUAGUUUAAUGUUGUAUGGUAUGUUAAUGACUAAUGGUUUGGUUGUACGUGGUGUCCACAGGUAUCGCUUGGGUUUUCUCUACAUUUAUUGAAGUGAAGCGGACUUAGUUCGAGUUGAGAGCAAGGAUUGUACGGGGUAGAAUGGUCACAUAGUGUAACUCAUAUAGAUUUUGAAGUAUUAAUGUUAUAUAUCCGUUUCAAUGAAUAUAUGGCUUUUCGCAUUUGAACCUUCAUGUGUUUGAUAUGUCUAUUAAAGAACGAAAUUUUUGGGCUCUUGUUUUCCGCUGCGUCGUAUUUUAAGUUAUUACACGUUAGUCUUACAGGGAAUUGUUCUUAUUACGAACGGGUCAUGCCCGAAUUUUGUUAAAUAAUAGUAUGAUAAUAUUACAUUUUGGAAUGUGUAAUUUGGGCGUUACAAGUUGGUUUCAGAGCCCUGGUUUGAGGGAAAUCAAGUAUGAGGAGGCAAAUACUUGAACUCAAACCUGUGUGCUCUUGUGACGAGAAACCCGUACAAUCCAAGACUCGAUCAAGAUCUAAAGGUAGAAGCAAAUGUAAGUAUGAAUUUAAGUAUGUUUAUGAAGAAACUAACAUUAUGUUGUGUGUAAGAUAAGCAUAGUUGUUUGGAUGAGGAUGAUCCACGACUGUGGUCUCGGACUGACACCAAGGCAUGUAAUAAGACCAUUGCCCAGGUACGUAAAUUUUGCAUAAGGGUGCAUGUAAUGCUAAAAGUUAUCGAGUGAAGGAAAAUUUGAAUGAAAUAUAAUAAUAUAAUGGAAACGAAGUUAUGAAAAUGUUACACGUGCCGAAACCUAAUUCUUCGGACAUAAGGUGACGAUUACACGAAGACACGAAACUAGUAUGUGGAUUGUGUACCUGGCCAGUACACAAGAAACAUAAGACGUUCGUGAGACCGUAAUGAUUGUUACAGGUAUGUCCGAUAGGAUUUGGUAGCGGCUGGGUGUGUGGGUGAAAUGGGUAGUAAGACUCUCGGGAGGUUGAGAGUACUAUGUAAGGGUGAAAAGUAUAAGUGAUAAGAAUGAAAUAUUGAGUCCAUAAGAAAGUAUGGAUUGACAAGAUAUGAAUGCAAUGCUUGAGUCCGCGAGACGGAUUCAAGGAUGAAAGAUGUGAAUGCAAUGCUUGAAUCCGCGAAACGGAUUCAAAGAAUGAAAGAUACGAAUGAUGCAAAUCCCUUGCGGAUUUGAUUAUGCUAAAGAAGGUUAUGAUAAGCUAUGCAAAUCGACCGGUUCAAGUUGAACAAGUCGAGUAAGGAUAGCGUACCAUCCGUUUAGAACGGGUGGUCGUGAAUGCAAUAAUAAAUGUAUGAAGUUCAACCCGUUAUACGGAUAGAACGAAAUAUUUAUGUUGAACACAAUUAACUCGAUUUUACCGAGGCGUAAGUGGUAUGCUUGAAUCUCAUUAUGAGAAUAUAUGCCAUUACCCAUUUAAUUAGAUACUCGAAUGCGUAAAAGAAAUGAAAGUAUAUAAGCGAAUGGAACUAAAAUGUUGGUGUUGUAAGCGAAAUAAGUAUUAUGACUAACUUUUAAAACGGGAAGGGUAAAAAUUUGCAAGAAAACACUGGAACAGUGAAGCUAUGAGGUCAUAAGCAUGUUUGAAUUGAAAAAGAGUACAAACGUGUACUUCGAUACGCAUGUAUAUAAUAAGAAAUAAGUGGCAGUUGACCUUGAAAAGUCAAACUGCAGAAGCUGAGAAAUAAUUUGGUUUCAAACCAAGAGAGUGCUAGAGAAGAAAGGAAAUGUGUAGUGUAGUACACCAAAUGAGUUAAAGAAUUACGAAAUAAUGAUUAUGUGUUUACCCGUCAAGAACGGGUCAAACAAUGAGAAUGAUAUAUAUAUAUAUAUAUAUUAAGAAAUGGUCAUGUAUUGACCCGUUAUGAAUAAGCUUAACACACUAGUGCUUUAAAAAGAAUCUUGGAAGUAGUAAUAUGUAAACAAGGAGAAGUAAUAAACAUCAUGUUUAAAUGAACUUGAAUGAAAUGUGAUAAUCCCCAAUUUUAUAAUGAGUAUGGCAGAUAUCAUAGUGUGAUAAACCUAUCUAGGUCAGUGAAAGAAUGUUCAUAAGCGAAAGCUCGUCACACGGAUAAACGAGGUCAAUACGAAACAUGGUAUGGAUGGGGACGAAGAGGACCGACUCGUUGCUGCAUGUUCAAGUACUGCACCAAGGUAGUAAGGUUAGCAAAUUAUUUAAUAUAUGAAGGUACGAUGCUCGAAUCCCUCAAACCUACGCUCUCGUGAAAGUGUGUUCGUUUCUAAGCGCCACGCAAGUAAGUGAUUUAAGGAUUUCGAGCUAUGCUUUUAGAUGAAAACGGAAAUGGGUUAUGGAUAAAUUACUAUUAUAACCUGGGUUGGGACGUUAUGGGAUGUUAGGGAAGGUUUCGGGACUGCCCAAGACCAUUUCUGGUUGGAAAAAAAAGACCCGGGAACAAAAAAUUUUGGUCAAACAGCGUCUGCACACCAGAGAGCCCGUCGGCGACGGCCUUUAUGCCGUCGGCGACGGCACCCCUCCACCUGACGCGCUAACUGUCUGUCUACGGGCAAUGUUUAGCGACGGGACCUUCCCGAGCCCGUCGGCGACGCACCAUGUGCCGUCGGCGACGGGUCCCCCUUAUCUGCUUAUGCUGAAAUUGUUUGUUUAUUAGGCUAAGGUCCUUAAUUCAGUUCUAGCAUUCAUUAAACACUAAGAACACCCCAGAUUGAUUAUGAAGCUAGGAAAUUCAAGACAACUAUCGUGUUUUAAUGAUGAAUGUGUGGGAAGUUAUGUAUGCGAACGAAUGAAAUAAGUAACACAUCUAGAAUGUUUGUAAAGAAAGAUUGGGUAAGUUUAUAAAAAUUUUACGCUAUCAUUGAGAAAGUACCUCCGUAUGAAUAAGUACGAUAUGUUAAAUGUGUACGAAUGAACGAGAUUGAAUGCGGAAAUGAAUAAAAUAAUGAUGACUAGGGAUUGGUUUUCGCAAAGAAGUUUGAAAUUUUGAUAAGUAUGAAUAAUAUGUCAGGAUGCUAGUUUCAAAUUAUGGACUAUGGGAUCUGUGAUUAGGCAAUUUCUCACAACAUGCUUAUGUAAGUCGUCCAAUGUCACUUGAAUGAAUGAACGAACGAAGAAUAAAACUAGAUGGGUUAUAGAAGAAAUGAAAGAGGUUUCGGGGACGAAACCUUCUUUAAGGGGGAUAGAUUUGUAACACCCCAAAACUCGAAUUAUUAAAUUCGUUAGUAGGUUACCUUGGGUAAUUAGAUGAAGUACAACAACUAAGUUAUUAAACUUAGUUAAAUGUCUAAUAAAUAAGUAAAGGAAUGAAGUUUGUGGCAACUAUGAUGAUGUGUUAGAGUUGAGGGACCUAGAUUGCCAUAAUGUAAACUAAAAUUUAAUAAAAAAAAAAGAAAGAAAGAAAAAUAAAACCACAACACACACUGUGCGUGUGUGUGGUCGAUCGCACAAGGCAGAGGGAAAGGGGUAAACCCUAAUUCUCAAGAAAUCUCCAAAUUGAAAAGGGAAUUGAAGGUUUUUAGGAUGCAUGUAUCAAGAUUAUCGAUCUCCUAAGUGUUCUUCACUAUCAAGAACGUGUCAAGGAGAGGUCAAGCAUAGGAGGAUAACGGGUCAAGAUAAAGCAAGGUGACAAAUACACUUAAUGGAGUACUCGAGGUAUGGGAUCGUUGGCUUCAUGAAGAAAUGGAGCUGGAUUUGGAUAAGAGUAUUUAAGAAAGCGCUUGGACAAUUCCACGACUACUUUAUAGAAUGCUCUACGAAAUUCUAUUAUAUAGUUUAAUGUUGUAUGGUAUGUUAAUGACUAAUGGUUUGGUUGUACGUGGUGUCCACAGGUAUCGCUUGGGUUUUCUCUACAUUUAUUGAAGUGAAGCGGACUUAGUUCGAGUUGAGAGCAAGGAUUGUACGGGGUAGAAUGGUCACAUAGUGUAACUCAUAUAGAUUUUGAAGUAUUAAUGUUAUAAAUCCGUUUCAAUGAAUAUAUGGCUUUUCGCAUUUGAACCUUCAUGUGUUUGAUAUGUCUAUUAAAGAACGAAAUUUUUGGGCUCUUGUUUUCCGCUGCGUCGUAUUUUAAGUUAUUACACGUUAGUCUUACAGGGAAUUGUUCUUAUUACGAACGGGUCAUGCCCGAAUUUUGUUAAAUAAUAGUAUGAUAAUAUUACAUUUU